CAACUUUCAGCAAUGGAU
This 18-nucleotide ribosomal RNA is filed under the name Chroogomphus pseudotomentosus. RNAcentral describes it as "partial 5.8S ribosomal RNA". Lineage: Eukaryota; Fungi; Basidiomycota; Agaricomycetes; Boletales; Gomphidiaceae. The record is from RNAcentral.